RNAcentral lists this unclassified non-coding RNA (225 nucleotides) under uncultured Micrococcaceae bacterium. RNAcentral's name for it is "contains 16S-23S intergenic spacer region". The record is from RNAcentral. Lineage: Bacteria; Bacillati; Actinomycetota; Actinomycetes; Micrococcales; Micrococcaceae.
UCCGAGUUGACCCCGGCAGUCUCCCAUGAGUCCCCGCCAUUACGCGCUGGCAACAUGGAACGAGGGUUGCGCUCGUUGCGGGACUUAACCCAACAUCUCACGACACGAGCUGACGACAACCAUGCACCACCUGUGAACCGGCCCCAAAGGGGAAACCACAUCUCUGCGGCGAUCCGGUAUAUGUCAAACCCAGGUAAGGUGGGGAUGACGUCCCUUACAGCGUAC